UCAGUGGCCAACAAUCGUCAGGAUUGUUGAGCUGCAUUGGCGGGAUUUCGCCGUCUUCGUUUCUCUUUCUUCGCGGACGAACACGCGCUGGGGCUGCAAGUUUGCAGAGUCCCUGGUCCUUGACUGGAUAUGCGUUAGGGGCUUGUAGCUCAGUUGGUUAGAGCGCGCGCUUGAUAAGCGUGAGGUCGGAAGUUCAAGUCUUCCCAGGCCCACCACUUUCAUCGAGUGAGCAUUCGUCUUCUGGUUACGGGGCCAUAGCUCAGCUGGGAGAGCGCGUGCUUUGCAAGCAUGAGGUCGUCGGUUCGAUCCCGUCUGGCUCCACCAGAUGGUUUGAUCAUCGACUGAUCGUGCACCUAAAUCGUCCGCGAAACAUCACUUCGCAUCUUGCUAGUCUGGAUAGACAGCAAGUUGCGUGAUUUCUGACAUCGUAAAGAGGAGAUCGAUCCGAGUUGGAUCGUGCAGCAAGCAAUUGCUACGCGAGACUUCAUUAUCUCCGGAUCAUUUCGGCGCUCGUGCGUCUUUCAAGGGCAGCUCACAAGGCUGCUUCUGGAGAGACAAGCGAGUUGUAAAUGAUCCUUUUAGCGAAGCUUGACCGCCUCGCUAUCGGAACGAUCUUACGAAGCAAGCUGGUCUUUCUAAUCAUUGUCCGGCUGCAGAUAGCGUUCAUCGAGGGCGCGUGCCGCAAGGCAGUUCUGCAGACAACAUUCUGCCGAGUGUGUGGACAUUGAUAAUGAGAGCAAUCAAGUGCCUUAAGGGUGUUCGGUGGAUGCCUUGGCGCUGAGAGGCGAUGAAGGACGUGCUACGCUGCGAUAA
RNAcentral lists this unclassified non-coding RNA (813 nucleotides) under Bradyrhizobium japonicum. Its description in RNAcentral is "partial contains 16S-23S ribosomal RNA intergenic spacer and 23S ribosomal RNA". The stretch from base 139 to 212 matches the Rfam family "tRNA". The record is from RNAcentral. Lineage: Bacteria; Pseudomonadati; Pseudomonadota; Alphaproteobacteria; Hyphomicrobiales; Nitrobacteraceae.